RNAcentral lists this ribosomal RNA (253 nucleotides) under uncultured bacterium. RNAcentral describes it as "partial 16S ribosomal RNA". It matches the Rfam family "Bacterial small subunit ribosomal RNA", at positions 524 to 776 of the family's 1533-position model. The record is from RNAcentral.
UACGUAGGGUGCAAGCGUUAAUCGGAAUUACUGGGCGUAAAGCGUGCGCAGGCGGUUUUGUAAGUCUGUCGUGAAAGCCCCGGACUCAACCUGGGAAUUGCGAUGGAGACUGCAAGGCUUGAAUCUGGCAGAGGGGGGUAGAAUUCCACGUGUAGCAGUGAAAUGCGUAGAGAUGUGGAGGAACACCGAUGGCGAAGGCAGCCCCCUGGGUCAAGAUUGACGCUCAUGCACGAAAGCGUGGGGAGCGAACAGG